UGGGGAAUAUUGCACAAUGGGGGAAACCCUGAUGCAGCGACGCCGCGUGAGCGAAGAAGUCUUUCGAGUCGUAAAGCUCUGUCCUAUGAGAAGAUAAUGACGGUAUCAUAGGAGGAAGCCCUGGCUAAAUACGUGCCAGCAGCCGCGGUAAUACGUAUGGGGCGAGCGUUGUCCGGAAUUAUUGGGCGUAAAGGGUACGUAGGCGGUUUUUUAAGUCAGGUGUCAAAGCGUGGAGCUUAACUCCAUUAAGCACUUGAAACUGAAAGACUUGAGUGAAGGAGAGGAAAGUGGAAUUCCUAGUGUAGCGGUGAAAUGCGUAGAUAUUAGGAGGAAUACCGGUGGCGAAGGCGACUUUCUGGACUUUUACUGACGCUCAGGUACGAAAGCGUGGGGAGCAAACAGG
RNAcentral lists this ribosomal RNA (403 nucleotides) under Verrucomicrobiota bacterium. Its description in RNAcentral is "Verrucomicrobia bacterium partial 16S ribosomal RNA". It matches the Rfam family "Bacterial small subunit ribosomal RNA", at positions 355 to 776 of the family's 1533-position model. The record is from RNAcentral. Lineage: Bacteria; Pseudomonadati; Verrucomicrobiota.